UGGGGAAUAUUGCACAAUGGGCGGAAGCCUGAUGCAGCGACGCCGCGUGAGGGAUGACGGCCUUCGGGUUGUAAACCUCUUUCAGCAGGGAAGAAGCGCAAGUGACGGUACCUGCAGAAGAAGCACCGGCUAACUACGUG
This 140-nucleotide ribosomal RNA is filed under the name uncultured bacterium. Its description in RNAcentral is "partial 16S rRNA". It matches the Rfam family "Bacterial small subunit ribosomal RNA", at positions 355 to 507 of the family's 1533-position model. The record is from RNAcentral.